UGAACGCUGGCGGCGUGCUUAACACAUGCAAGUCGAACGGAAAGGCCUCUGCUUGCAGGGGUACUCGAGUGGCGAACGGGUGAGUAACACGUGGGUGAUCUGCCCUGCACUUCGGGAUAAGCCUGGGAAACUGGGUCUAAUACCGGAUAGGACAAUGGUUUGGAUGCUGUUGUGGAAAGUUUUUCGGUGUGGGAUGAGCUCGCGGCCUAUCAGCUUGUUGGUGGGGUAAUGGCCUACCAAGGCGUCGACGGGUAGCCGGCCUGAGAGGGUGUACGGCCACAUUGGGACUGAGAUACGGCCCAGACUCCUACGGGAGGCAGCAGUGGGGAAUAUUGCACAAUGGGCGCAAGCCUGAUGCAGCGACGCCGCGUGGGGGAUGACGGCCUUCGGGUUGUAAACUCCUUUCGCUAGGGACGAAGCGUUUUUGUGACGGUACCUGGAGAAGAAGCACCGGCUAACUACGUG
RNAcentral lists this ribosomal RNA (465 nucleotides) under uncultured bacterium. RNAcentral describes it as "partial 16S ribosomal RNA". It matches the Rfam family "Bacterial small subunit ribosomal RNA", at positions 30 to 507 of the family's 1533-position model. The record is from RNAcentral.